Long non-coding RNA from Engraulis encrasicolus (European anchovy), 208 nucleotides. RefSeq lists it as uncharacterized. The record is from RefSeq and is a predicted model, not a curated record. The transcript has 3 exons. NCBI's taxonomy places the organism in Eukaryota, Metazoa, Chordata, Actinopteri, Clupeiformes, Engraulidae.
AUGCAAGAUGCGGCGACUUGACUUCAGACACCGAGAGAGGCUGGCGGCCCAGGUCUUGUGGCCACAUCUGUCCAAGCUCCUACUCUGAUUGAACAGUUGGAUGAUCAGACUGAUGAUGAAAAGUGCUACACAGUUCUCACACAUCUUCUGACUCCGAAGCCGCUGCAGUGUAAAAUCUGAGAUGUCUUUUCUGGUUGAUUUUGUGCAG